GGUGUGGCCUUGUUUGAGGAAAUGUGUCACUGGGGGUAGGCUUUGAGGUUUCAGAAGCUCAAUCCAGGCCUAGUGGCUCACUGUCUCUUCCUGCUGCCUGUGGAUCC
MicroRNA precursor from Microtus ochrogaster (prairie vole), 107 nucleotides. The record is from Ensembl. NCBI's taxonomy places the organism in Eukaryota, Metazoa, Chordata, Mammalia, Rodentia, Cricetidae.